RNAcentral lists this ribosomal RNA (626 nucleotides) under uncultured cyanobacterium. RNAcentral describes it as "bacterial SSU rRNA". It matches the Rfam family "Bacterial small subunit ribosomal RNA", at positions 28 to 701 of the family's 1533-position model. Lineage: Bacteria; Bacillati; Cyanobacteriota. The record is from RNAcentral.
GAUGAACGCUGGCGGUCUGCUUAACACAUGCAAGUCGAACGGGCUCUUCGGAGCUAGUGGCGGACGGGUGAGUAACGCGUGAGAAUCUGCCUUCAGGAGGGGGAUAACGACUGGAAACGGUCGCUAAUACCCCAUAUGCCUACGGGUAAAAUGUUUUUCGCCUGAAGAUGAGCUCGCGUCCGAUUAGCUAGUUGGUGAGGUAAGAGCUUACCAAGGCAACGAUCGGUAGCUGGUCUGAGAGGAUGAUCAGCCACACUGGGACUGAGACACGGCCCAGACUCCUACGGGAGGCAGCAGUGGGGAAUUUUCCGCAAUGGGCGCAAGCCUGACGGAGCAAGACCGCGUGCGGGAUGACGGCCUAAUGGUUGUAAACCGCUUUUCUCUGGGAAGAAGAUGACGGUACCAGAGGAGUAAGCCUCGGNUAACCCCGUGCCAGCAGCCGCGGUAAUACGGAGGAGGCACGCGUUAUCCGGAAUUAUUGGGCGUAAAGCGUCCGUAGGUGGUUCAUCAAGUCAGCUGUUAAAGAGCGGAGCUCAACUCCGUCGGAGCGGUUGAAACUGGUGAACUAGAGUUUGGUAGGGGUCGAGGGAAUUCCCAGUGUAGCGGUGAAAUGCGUAGAUAUUGGG